CCUAACCAGCCUUCAGUCUGAAAGUGCCUGAUCUCGUCACAUCUCAGAAGUCAUGCAGACUUGGGCAUGCCAAGUACUUGUUUGGAGACCAACCAGGAACCUCAGGUGCCGUAAGCU
This is a non-coding RNA of Pelobates cultripes (western spadefoot toad), 117 nucleotides long. The record is from the annotation of a GenBank genome assembly. NCBI's taxonomy places the organism in Eukaryota, Metazoa, Chordata, Amphibia, Anura, Pelobatidae.